ACUAGUUGGAGCACCCCUGCAGGGUUAAAUCUUUCCGAGAAACGUGAUCGCGGUUAUGUGGCAACUUGUAAACUUUGUUUAAGACCCGGGCAUAGAAAAAAAAUGAAGUGACCUUAAUUAAAAACUUGCCAACUAUGUGUGUAACCGUGACUGUCUCUUCUCAUGAGCUCUGUAUCUGAAAGAGGACACGAUGGGGUUAUGUUCAUUAUUAGUUCACGUCCGUUU
This 225-nucleotide long non-coding RNA is filed under the name Hordeum vulgare. RNAcentral's name for it is "long non-coding RNA (HVUL_LNC012178)". The record is from RNAcentral. Lineage: Eukaryota; Viridiplantae; Streptophyta; Magnoliopsida; Poales; Poaceae.